Molecule: long non-coding RNA, 706 nt
Organism: Salvia splendens (bonfire salvia)
Lineage: Eukaryota; Viridiplantae; Streptophyta; Magnoliopsida; Lamiales; Lamiaceae
Exons: 3
Source: RefSeq, a predicted model, not a curated record
UUUAAGUCAAAUAAAUAUCUCACAAUCCCAUUACUAUACGGUUGUCUCCAUAUCUCCUUCUUUCCUUAAAAAUCUCCAACCAAAUACUCUUUGUUAAAUCUAUUUAUACUUUUCCUCCCACAAUCUCAGCAACCUACCGUUCCUGCAGUUUUCUUCCCCUUCCAACCAAGUUGAGAAGAAAUAGUUCGAGUAAGAGAGCCGAGAGUCCCCCAAAUUGUUUUCCUGCAACUCUUUGCAACAAAGGUUGGUUUCUGGGCUGCGCGGUGUCGUUUCGGGACUGUUCGAAGAGAGAGCAGACCAGUGGCGACUGCAGACGGCGAUGGCACUGAGCGACGGCGUGGACGCGGCCAGCAUCAGCUCUUCCCGGCGGCGACAGCAGCGUCUUCCAGGCACGGUGACAACAGCACCGUUCCCUCCCGACGAGCAGUGGCCGGCGGCAUGGAGCGAAUCGGAAGAGGCGACGAAAAUUUGGGGAUCUUGUUUUCUUCCAUGUUGUGAGAGAAGGCGAAUUAGAGUAGAGAGAGAAGUCGAUGGUUUUGGGUGGAUGGUUUUUCAUUCAUUCUUUUGUUUUAUACUUUAAUGAAUUCAUACUUUAGUAGUUGAGGUGUAAAUUAAAGUGGAAGUAGAGGGGAGUAUACGUGUAAUUUUUGUAACAGGAGGUGUGCCCUUUAGUUCCAUAUUUUAAAUUUAACUAGUUCCUCUUCAA